GACGAACGCUGGCGGCGUGCCUAAUACAUGCAAGUAGAACGCUGAAGGCGGAGCUUGCUUCUCUGGAUGAGUUGCGAACGGGUGAGUAACGCGUAGGUAACCUGCCUGGUAGCGGGGGAUAACUAUUGGAAACGAUAGCUAAUACCGCAUAAGAGUAGAUGUUGCAUGACAUUUGCUUAAAAGGUGCAAUUGCAUCACUACCAGAUGGACCUGCGUUGUAUUAGCUAGUUGGUGAGGUAACGGCUCACCAAGGCAACGAUACAUAGCCGACCUGAGAGGGUGAUCGGCCAAACUGGGAAUGAGACACGGCCCAGACUCCUACGGGAGGCAGCAGUAGGGAAUCUUCGGCAAUGGACGGAAGUCUGACCGAGCAACGCCGCGUGAGUGAAGAAGGUUUUCGGAUCGUAAAGCUCUGUUGUAAGAGAAGAAAGAGUGUGAGAGUGGAAAGUUCACACUGUGACGGUAUCUGACCAGAAAGGGACGGCUAACUACGUG
Molecule: ribosomal RNA, 495 nt
Filed under: uncultured bacterium
Lineage: Bacteria
Description: partial 16S ribosomal RNA
Rfam family: Bacterial small subunit ribosomal RNA
Source: RNAcentral